This 400-nucleotide ribosomal RNA is filed under the name uncultured Cercozoa. RNAcentral describes it as "SSU rRNA". It matches the Rfam family "Eukaryotic small subunit ribosomal RNA", at positions 567 to 963 of the family's 1831-position model. Lineage: Eukaryota; Cercozoa. The record is from RNAcentral.
CCAGCACCUGCGGUAAUUCCAGCUCCAAUAGCGUAUAUUAAAGUUGUUGCAGUUAAAAAGCUCGUAGUUGAAUUUAUGAUACGGUACGCCUGGUCCGCCCCGUUAAGGUGUGUGAGUGCCGGCGCGUACCUAUCAUCCUUCUGCGGACUGCGUCUACCCUUGAUUGGGCCGGGCGUAGGACGUAGAUCGUUUACUUUGAAAAAAUUAGAGUGUUUCAAGCAGGCUUAUGCCUUGAAUACAUUAGCAUGGAAUAAUAAGAUAGGGCUUUGGUUCUAUUUUGUUGGUUUCUAGGACUGAAGUAAUGAUUGAUAGGGAUAGUUGGGGGUGCUAGUAUUGAACGGCCAGAGGUGAAAUUCUUGGAUUCGUUCAAGACUAACUAAUGCGAAAGCAUUCACCAAGG